GCAUAUCAAUAAGCGGAGGAAAAGAAACCAACAGGGAUUGCCUCAGUAACGGCGAGUGAAGCGGCAAUAGCUCAAAUUUGAAAUCUGGUCCUUUCAGGUCCCGAAUUGUAAUUUGUAGAGGAUGUUUCGGCUCACGCCCCGGUCUAAGUUCCUUGGAACAGGACGUCACAGAGGGUGAGAACCCCGUUUGUGGCCGGCGGCUUACGCCAUGUGAAACUCCUUCGACGAGUCGAGUUGUUUGGGAAUGCAGCUCUAAAUGGGAGGUAAAUUUCUUCUAAAGCUAAAUACUGGCCAGAGACCGAUAGCGCACAAGUAGAGUGAUCGAAAGAUGAAAAGCACUUUGGAAAGAGAGUUAAAAAGUACGUGAAAUUGUUGAAAGGGAAGCGCUUGCGACCAGACUUGCCCGCGGAUGCUCAGCCGGUCCUUCGGCCGGUGUACUCUUCCGCGGUCAGGCCAGCAUCAGUUCGGGCGGUCGGAUAAAGGCCUUGGGAAUGUAACUCACCUCGGUGAGUGUUAUAGCCCUCGGUACAAUACGGCCCGCCUGGACUGAGGAACGCGCUUCGGCUAGGAUGCUGGCGUAAUGGUCGUAAGCGGCCCGUCUUGAAACACGGACCAAGGAGUCUAACAUCUAUGCGAGUGUUUGGGUGUCAAACCCGUGCGCGAAAUGAAAGUGAACGGAGGUGGGAGCCCUCACGGGUGCACCAUCGACCGAUCCUGAUGUCUUCGGAUGGAUUUGAGUAAGAGCAUAGCUGUUGGGACCCGAAAGAUGGUGAACUAUGCCUGAAUAGGGUGAAGCAAAUAAAACUCUGGUGGAGGCUCGCAGCGGUUCUGACGUGCAAAUCGAUCGUCAAAUUUGGGUAUAGGGGGCGAAAGACUAAUCG
This 881-nucleotide ribosomal RNA is filed under the name Tubeufia cerea. RNAcentral describes it as "LSU rRNA". It matches the Rfam family "Eukaryotic large subunit ribosomal RNA", at positions 38 to 937 of the family's 3401-position model. Lineage: Eukaryota; Fungi; Ascomycota; Dothideomycetes; Tubeufiales; Tubeufiaceae. The record is from RNAcentral.